UUAUUACAUCUGAAACGGGCACCACUGCAUGACCAAAGAAAUGCCAUUAGAAGUUUGAUGGCAAAGAAAUGCAAUUAGAAGUUUGAUGAUAUAUCUAACUAAUAAUUCAAAGACAAAGUUGUCUACAUUUUCAAGAUUUAUGUAGGUACUGGUGCCGUAAGGUAUGACCAACUUACCUAUGAUGCUGAAGUCAUGACAUAAUUGUCUUUCACUCUUAGGAAAUGGCUAUUCAACUUUGUAGCAAAUUGCUAACUUAUCAUCACAGGUUUCACGGGGAAAUUUUACAAUUCAUGGUGAUUGCGAAAUAGACAUGUGCAUACAAUAUAGCUCCAAGAUAGUUCAUCAGAAGCUUAUUAUAAAGCUACAUGUUCCAAAAAGAGGGUAUGCUCAUAUUGGCUUAUGUUUGCCAUUAGCCAACUGCUCAUGUCCAAUGAGAAUUAAGAAAGUAAGAAGCAAUGAGUAAGAAAACAUAUAAGCCACACUCUCCGAUCUAAUCUCCAACUCAAGCAGUUACUUAUGGCUAGAAUGAAUCUACACACAGAUAGUACAGUUAGAUAUUUCAUGUUAAUACAGUUGUGUCAGCAUAGAAAAUGCAGAAUUUCUGAUUAAGCAACCAAGGCUAGCACCUUUACCAUUAUUACAAUGCUUGAGCAAGAUUUCUGGAAUACAGGUGAGAAGUACAAUACAAGCUCGCGCGCGCGCACACACACACACA
This 715-nucleotide unclassified non-coding RNA is filed under the name Hevea brasiliensis (rubber tree). The record is from RNAcentral. Lineage: Eukaryota; Viridiplantae; Streptophyta; Magnoliopsida; Malpighiales; Euphorbiaceae.